AUUGAACGCUGGCGGCAGGCCUAACACAUGCAAGUCGAGCGGAUGAAGGGAGCUUGCUCCUGGAUUCAGCGGCGGACGGGUGAGUAAUGCCUAGGAAUCUGCCUGGUAGUGGGGGAUAACGUCCGGAAACGGGCGCUAAUACCGCAUACGUCCUGAGGGAGAAAGUGGGGGACCUUCGGACCUCACGCUAUCAGAUGAGCCUAGGUCGGAUUAGCUAGUUGGUGGGGUAAAGGCCUACCAAGGCGACGAUCCGUAACUGGUCUGAGAGGAUGAUCAGUCACACUGGAACUGAGACACGGUCCAGACUCCUACGGGAGGCAGCAGUGGGGAAUAUUGGACAAUGGGCGAAAGCCUGAUCCAGCCAUGCCGCGUGUGUGAAGAAGGUCUUCGGAUUGUAAAGCACUUUAAGUUGGGAGGAAGGGCAGUAAGUUAAUACCUUGCUGUUUUGACGUUACCAACAGAAUAAGCACCAGCUAACUUCGUG
RNAcentral lists this ribosomal RNA (484 nucleotides) under uncultured bacterium. RNAcentral's name for it is "partial 16S ribosomal RNA". It matches the Rfam family "Bacterial small subunit ribosomal RNA", at positions 30 to 507 of the family's 1533-position model. The record is from RNAcentral.